CCUGGGAAUGCUGCAAGGAAAGCCCAGCGCUGCCCUCCGGGACUCCAGCGUGCUCACAGGAGUCACAGGAGCCGUCCACUUCGCCUCCUUUGUCCACGCUCUGAAACGAAGGGGGAAGGCCACUUGGCAAUCCCAGACUAGUGGAAGGAGACAGUAUUACAGACUAGGAAACAAGAUGUCUGCCCUGAAGAAGCCAAUGGAAGCUUGUAAAAAUCCACCUCUGUCUCACCAUUCCAAGGUCCUAUGCAUAUAUUGACCAUAUGUUGAAUUGAACGGUGUCAUUGAAGCUGGUAUUGUUUGUGAAAUCCUAGAAAGUGACUUGUGUGCUGUGAGUAGGAGUUGACCAAAUCAGAGCAACUGGGGCCAGCUGGAGAAAUGUCACCUUUGGGUCAGCAGGCCUAUCUGUCAGCUGUCACAGGGAUCUUAGGAAAACAUUCAGAUCUACUUGAUGUACCAGAGAAUUCCAAAGACAAUGGAGAACGGAUUUUAUUUUCCUCAAGCACGUCUCUGAAUAUACGCAGUUCAGGACUCAUGAAGCCCCGCAAGAGUCAUGAGGAAUGUUCCUGAAGCAUUUGUUUGACUUGAUAGAAAAUAAUUUUCUAUUCUUUUAUUUUUAACCAAGUAUACAUGCAUUAUGAGACAAGAUACCUUAUGAUGAAGUUCAGUGUAAAAUUCAAGAUUUUGAAGAAUUGUGAUUCCUUCUUUGGGUCUGACUCUUAGAUUUAGGGGAAUAUUUUUCCCUUUCCCCUACCAAUAUGGUUA
Molecule: long non-coding RNA, 762 nt
Organism: Sorex araneus (European shrew)
Lineage: Eukaryota; Metazoa; Chordata; Mammalia; Eulipotyphla; Soricidae
Exons: 4
Source: RefSeq, a predicted model, not a curated record